This 253-nucleotide ribosomal RNA is filed under the name uncultured bacterium. RNAcentral describes it as "partial 16S ribosomal RNA". It matches the Rfam family "Bacterial small subunit ribosomal RNA", at positions 524 to 776 of the family's 1533-position model. The record is from RNAcentral.
UACAGAGGAGCCAAGCGUUGUCCGGAUUGACUGGGCGUAAAGCGCACGCAGGCGGCAUCGCGCGUGGGGUGUGAAAUCUGGCCGCUUAACGGCCAGGCGCCAUCCCAUACGGCGAGGCUGGAGCGAUGCAGAGGUCGGUGGAAUUGCCGGUGUAGUGGUGAAAUGCGUAGAGAUGUGGAGGAACACCAGUGGCGAAGGCGACUCUUUGGCCUGUAACUGACACUGAGGCGCGAAAGCGUGGGGAGCAAACAGG